This 71-nucleotide transfer RNA is filed under the name Loxodonta africana (African savanna elephant). It matches the Rfam family "tRNA". From Rfam's summary of the family: Transfer RNA (tRNA) molecules are approximately 80 nucleotides in length. Their secondary structure includes four short double-helical elements and three loops (D, anti-codon, and T loops). Lineage: Eukaryota; Metazoa; Chordata; Mammalia; Proboscidea; Elephantidae. The record is from Rfam by way of RNAcentral.
GCAGCAGUGGUUCAGUGGUAGAAUCCUCACCUUCUAUGCAAGCAAUUUGGGUUCGAUUCCCGGUCACUGCA